GGGUCAACAUUAAAUUAAAGCUUCUAACUUUAUAAAAAGCAGUAUGCCUGUUUUUGACUCA
This 61-nucleotide transfer RNA is filed under the name Cryphalus piceae. Its description in RNAcentral is "tRNA-Ser". Lineage: Eukaryota; Metazoa; Arthropoda; Insecta; Coleoptera; Curculionidae. The record is from RNAcentral.